GACGAACGCUGGCGGCGUGCUUAACACAUGCAAGUCGAGCGGUAAGGCCCUUUCGGGGGUACACGAGCGGCGAACGGGUGAGUAACACGUGGGUGACCUGCCCUCAGCUCUGGGAUAAGCCUGGGAAACUGGGUCUAAUACUGGAUAUGACUCCACGGUGCAUGUCGUGGGGUGGAAAGCCUUGUGCGGCUGAGGAUGGGCCCGCGGCCUAUCAGCUUGUUGGUGGGGUGAGGCCUACCAAGGCGACGACGGGUAGCCGGCCUGAGAGGGCGACCGGCCACACUGGGACUGAGACACGGCCCAGACUCCUACGGGAGGCAGCAGUGGGGAAUCUUGCGCAAUGGGCGAAAGCCUGACGCAGCGACGCCGCGUGAGGGAUGACGGCCUGGU
RNAcentral lists this ribosomal RNA (390 nucleotides) under uncultured bacterium. RNAcentral's name for it is "bacterial SSU rRNA". It matches the Rfam family "Bacterial small subunit ribosomal RNA", at positions 28 to 420 of the family's 1533-position model. The record is from RNAcentral.